CUUAAACACAUACGUCGUCGUAUUAUUAUACGUCCCCGGGAAACGCGUGUAAGUAACUAAUAAGUUUCGCGUGUAAACCGCAAUGAGGGAUACUGACGCGUUUCGCUAACUGUUAAAUUACCCGGUCGACGGUUAAUACACGGUGACCCGGUGUGUAUUUCAGUCAAACUAGACCUAAAAAAAAAGGCAAAACUGUAGAAAUCAUCGUGAUUGACGGAUUUCAAUUUUGAAAACGAAUUAAUUCUUACUGGGUUUCCUUACCAGGUUACAUUGGAAAUAAAAAACGUAAUUAUUUUACUGGAAA
Molecule: non-coding RNA, 304 nt
Organism: Cinara cedri
Lineage: Eukaryota; Metazoa; Arthropoda; Insecta; Hemiptera; Aphididae
Source: the annotation of a GenBank genome assembly